UGGGGAAUAUUGGACAAUGGGCGCAAGCCUGAUCCAGCCAUGCCGCGUGUGUGAAGAAGGCCUUUUGGUUGUAAAGCACUUUAAGCGAGGAGGAGGCUACCCUGACUAAUACUCAGGAGUAGUGGACGUUACUCGCAGAAUAAGCACCGGCUAACUCUGUGCCAGCAGCCGCGGUAAUACAGAGGGUGCGAGCGUUAAUCGGAAUUACUGGGCGUAAAGCGCGCGUAGGCGGUUUGUUAAGUCGGAUGUGAAAUCCCCGGGCUCAACCUGGGAAUUGCAUUCGAUACUGGCAAGCUAGAGUAUGGGAGAGGAAGGUAGAAUUCCAGGUGUAGCGGUGAAAUGCGUAGAGAUCUGGAGGAAUACCGAUGGCGAAGGCAGCCUUCUGGCCUAAUACUGACGCUGAGGUGCGAAAGCAUGGGGAGCAAACA
This 428-nucleotide ribosomal RNA is filed under the name uncultured prokaryote. Its description in RNAcentral is "bacterial SSU rRNA". It matches the Rfam family "Bacterial small subunit ribosomal RNA", at positions 355 to 774 of the family's 1533-position model. The record is from RNAcentral. RNAcentral also lists the same sequence under 1 other name.